GUCUCUUGGUGGCUCAGCUGGCAGAGCGCUGGAGUACCAAUCCAGUGGCAGUGAGUUCAAAUCUCACCCAAGGCA
Molecule: transfer RNA, 75 nt
Filed under: Leguminivora glycinivorella
Lineage: Eukaryota; Metazoa; Arthropoda; Insecta; Lepidoptera; Tortricidae
Description: tRNA-Gly
Rfam family: tRNA
About the family: Transfer RNA (tRNA) molecules are approximately 80 nucleotides in length.
Source: RNAcentral